This 414-nucleotide ribosomal RNA is filed under the name Triticum aestivum (bread wheat). RNAcentral describes it as "partial small subunit ribosomal RNA". The record is from RNAcentral. Lineage: Eukaryota; Viridiplantae; Streptophyta; Magnoliopsida; Poales; Poaceae.
AUGGAAAGCAAACAUUUCAUCAAGAGCGUGAUCAUGUGUGCACUCAUACUGGGACUUGUCCCGGAACAAAUCCAAGUAGCAGAGGGCAAGAGCUGCUGCAGAGACACCAGAUCAAGAAACUGUUACAACGUGUGCGGUUUUAGGUACCCCAGUAGCUCCUGCUCAAAAAUGUGUGGCUGUGUGCUCACAAGGGACCCCACAUGUCCCAGGGAAUACCCUAACCUCAACCUUCUCCCUAGCUCAGCUGAACCAGAUGCCGUUGAGUACUGCAAACUAGGAUGCAGGCUCUCAGUCUGUGACAACGUCAACUCAGCUGAGCUUCGCGAAGACAUGAAAGUCGGCGUGGAGCGCUGCGGCGAUGCGUGCGGCCGGUUCUGCAACGAUGCCACCAACAUUGCAUCCGUCGAUGCUUGA